This is a long non-coding RNA of Erpetoichthys calabaricus (reedfish), 768 nucleotides long. RefSeq lists it as uncharacterized. Lineage: Eukaryota; Metazoa; Chordata; Cladistia; Polypteriformes; Polypteridae. The record is from RefSeq and is a predicted model, not a curated record. The transcript is spliced from 2 exons.
AGUACUGAGUAGCUCCACCGUUAUUGUUGAUCACUUCAAAAAUUCGUUGCGGCAUGCUUGAUGCAAGCGUUUCCAUGAGGUGAGUGGGAACAUUUCUCCAAGUGGUGAAGACGGCUGCACGAAGGGCAUCAACUGUCUGGAACUGUUGUCCAUUUUUGUAAACUUCCCUUGCCAUCCAUCCCCAAAGGUUCUCAAUUGGAUUUAGAUCAGGGGAACAAGCAGGAUGGGUCAAAAGAGUGAUGUUAUUCUCCUGGAAGAAGUCCCUUGUCCUGCGGGCAUUGUGUACUGUGGCGUUGUCCUGUUGAAAAACCCAUUCGUUACCACACAGACGAGGGCCCUCAGUCAUGAGGAAUGCUCUCUGCAACAUCUGGACAUAGCCAGCGGCCGUUUCACGCCCCUGCACUUCCUGAAGCUCCAUUGUUCCACUGAAGGAAAAAGCACCCCAGACCAUUAUGGCGCCCCCUCCACUGUGGUGCGUAGAAAACAUCUCAGGUGGGAUCUGCUUGUCAUGCCAGUAACGUUGGAAACCAUCAGGACCAUCAAGGUUAAAUUUUUUCUCAUCAGAGAAUAAAACUUUCUUCCACCUUUGAAUGUCCCAUGUUUGGUGCUCUCUUGCAAUGUCCAAACGAGCAAUUCUGUGGCGUUCAAGGAGAUGAGGUCUUUGAAGACGUUUUUUGUUUUUGAAGCCCUUCAGUCUCAGAUGCCGUCUGAUGGUUAUGGGGCUGCAACCCUGCUUAUGCAGUUCAACAACCCGACCACGUUCAAAAA